GCGAAACAAACAAAGUAUAAAAGAUGAAAUACUAGAUUAGGCUAAAUAUCAAGGGAGGAUUCAAUAAUUCUUCAAAAGCAUUUAUUGCCCUCUUAAUCAUAUUUAUUUAUAUUUAGGACUCUGAUUAAAAAUGCUCAAAUAAAGACACAUAUCAUAUUCACUUUAUGAACACUCUCUCUCAAUGAUAUUUCCAAUAAGUUUUGUAGUUAUAGAUCAGCUGCAAAGUUUUACCAUAUGUGGAUUCUGCUUUCAUGGUGGAAGCUGCUUAUAUUACAUCCAUUACAGCUAAAUCCAGACCAGAGUUCCAUCACUGGAAGUAAACAAAGUUUGAAAUCAUAAUGAUUCACAACUAUUCAUCCCAUUCUCUGCUCCUCAUCACUCUAUGAGUACUUUAUUGCUGUUUCUGGUAUGUGAUGUGGUCAGCAGAAUUUAAGUUCUUAAACUUCUUUCUCACCAUUGAAUGUUCCACAUAAGUUUCAGUAUAGAUAAAUAUGAUCACUGUACAUGUGAGCUGUCAUAUUCAACGAUUGAAGCAUUGCUUCUCCUCUUUUGUUGAAAUUAAAUACUGAUAUGCCACCGUUGUUCACAUCAAUUGCCCGAAACCUGAACCAACAAAAGUGUUUCUAAGGCUGAAUGCUAAUAAAAUGUAGCAGCAAUGUACCAUCACCAUUGUAAUAUGAUGAGCAUGGCAAUCGCAAUUCACAAAUGAUUCCUGGCCCAGGGCAGAAACUUUCUUAGCAAUCUGACUCCAAUAAAAUAGUAUCAGACUUUAUGGUAAAAAACUGACAAAGCAGCCCUAAAAGACUUUGUUCCUGAAUCACUAUUAAAUAUCUCACAAUGAUCAAUUGAAAUCACUGCCCUGUUGAUUGCAGUUAUGAGAAGAAGACUAUCACAUACCUCUCAGGGCCUAGCCCCAAAGCUGUGCAGAUUAGUGCCCUCAAGAUUGACUUGUGAGUGACAACCAAAAAAUUUUCACCCUGAUGCAUGAGAAAGAUUCUUAUAUUGCUUCUAUAGUUAUACCAUCAUUUCUUUAAACAUUAAUAACAAUAGGAAGGAAAAGUGAAGAGCUCACAGGAGAAAGCAAAAUUUCUCUCCAAGCUUCUUGAGCUGUCCCCCAUAGUUUUCGCACGGGGUAGACACCAUUCACAUAAAAAUUAGCAGGAUCCUCUCUCCAUGUUGUAUAUUCCUUUGGAUAUCUCUCUCUAGCAUCCACUGCCUCCGAAUACUGAACGUGGUUUAGUCAUAUAGAAAUUGUAGGAAGAAUAAAAGUUCAGCACUGUUCUAAAGCUCUAAACUAGUAUCAAUGAGUUUGGAGCUAGCUAGAAACAGACUUUCAUAAUUAAAAUUGACCAUGUUAUGAACAAGUGAACAUCAUAUUAAACCAAAACAUGAUAGUUUGAUGGAUGUGUGACGAGGAACAAACAUUUAAGAAAGAACAACUUGACUAAACAAACACAAUAAAAGGGGACAGACCAUUUCUCAUGCCUUCAAGGAAAAACAGAUGAGCCUCCUUCAGUGAAUCAAGGAAAACCAGUGGCUCUUCCUUCCCUUGCCAUAUGACUUCAGCACUGGACUUGGCACGAGAUAUUGGACUUGAAAAGCAACAAUCAAAAUGCAUAUUUUCUAAGGCUUGCCUACACCUCUCUGCUUGCCUCACUCCAGUUUCAGUUAAGACAGAUAAGUUUGAGCUUCCCUGAACUCUACCCUCUUUAUUCCAAGAGCUAAGCCCAUGCCUUAUAAGAGUUACCCUCUUUGGUGAUGACAACAAUUUCUGAGUAAGCGAUAUUGUUGCACUGUCAAAACCAUAUGCACCACCAGUGAUGGAAGCAUCAUUUUGAACCAUCUCUGUUGCUAAGGGAACUUCUGGACUAGAAUUUGAGCAUUGAAUUCCAAGUCUGGUAGAGCAUUUAGCAGGCCUGCUUGAAUUAUAUAUGGAAUUCAAGCUUGAACACAGAGGGACUUCGAAGGCGAGAACUCCACAAACCAUCUUGCUGUGAGGUGGAUUCAAACGUCAAAGGCUCAAAGCUUGUGAAUAUAAUAAUUAUGGACACUGUUUCUUUCUAGUUUUAUUCUGGUUAAGGUCCCAUUAGGCUCUCCAACCAUGUUAGAUAGUUUCCAUAUAAGUAUUUAUGAGGGGAAUUAUUUACUGAGGAGCAUCAUAGCUGGUGAUAAGAUAGCCUUCUUGAUCAAUGGAAGGUGGGGACAGAGCAAUCUGUUUGAUUUGUGGAGAUCAAUUGGCGUGGAAUCUGGCAUUUAUUCGAAGUGAUUCUUGUCCUUACAUUCAUUUUCAUCUUGGAUAUACCAACUUGGGAAUGGAAGAUUCGCGGAUGGCAUGCCCUCCAGCUGAAAAUUGAAGGUUG
This 2360-nucleotide unclassified non-coding RNA is filed under the name Hevea brasiliensis (rubber tree). The record is from RNAcentral. Lineage: Eukaryota; Viridiplantae; Streptophyta; Magnoliopsida; Malpighiales; Euphorbiaceae.